UUGGGAGAACAUCCAUCACACUGCUCAGAAUGGACCCAAUCUUCCAGUUUCAGAAGCUAAGCAGGGUUGGGCUGGGUUAGCCCUGGGAUGGGAGACCACAGGGAAUAUCAAGGGUCUCCAAAU
Molecule: ribosomal RNA, 123 nt
Filed under: Pogona vitticeps (central bearded dragon)
Lineage: Eukaryota; Metazoa; Chordata; Lepidosauria; Squamata; Agamidae
Source: RNAcentral